This 389-nucleotide ribosomal RNA is filed under the name uncultured bacterium. RNAcentral's name for it is "bacterial SSU rRNA". It matches the Rfam family "Bacterial small subunit ribosomal RNA", at positions 29 to 419 of the family's 1533-position model. The record is from RNAcentral.
UACGAACGCUGGCGGCGUGCUUAACACAUGCAAGUCGAGCGGUAAGGCCCUUUCGGGGGUACACGAGCGGCGAACGGGUGAGUAACACGUGGGUGACCUGCCCUCAGCUCUGGGAUAAGCCUGGGAAACCGGGUCUAAUACUGGAUAUGACUCCAUGACGCAUGUUGUGGGGUGGAAAGCCUUGUGCGGCUGAGGAUGGGCCCGCGGCCUAUCAGCUUGUUGGUGGGGGAUGGCCUACCAAGGCGACGACGGGUAGCCGGCCUGAGAGGGCGACCGGCCACACUGGGACUGAGACACGGCCCAGACUCCUACGGGAGGCAGCAGUGGGGAAUCUUGCGCAAUGGGCGAAAGCCUGACGCAGCGACGCCGCGUGAGGGAUGACGGCCUGG